RNAcentral lists this long non-coding RNA (1269 nucleotides) under Struthio camelus australis. Its description in RNAcentral is "lncRNA (ENSSCUG00000005914.1)". The record is from RNAcentral. Lineage: Eukaryota; Metazoa; Chordata; Aves; Struthioniformes; Struthionidae.
CCCGGUCCCGUCCGACGCGCCGGGCCUGCUCUCCGUUAGCUAAGGCGGCGCGGACCCUAACCCUCCGGUCAGGCUAAGGGGACCCUACCUGUCGCCACCUCUCUCUCCGCUCUUCGUUCCUGCUUUAAGCACCAAAGCGGCCUGAAGCCAAUCUUCUGCGGGAGCAUCCCUUAGUUAGGAGCUUGUUUCGUCGCCUUAAAAAUUGCUAGUUCCUUCCCCUCCCCUGCAGGGCAGCGAUCAGAUGCGAAUAAGGGGAAGCGUUUUCCCAGGGGAAAAGCUAGCUGCCGUUUCACAGAAAAUCUGCCAGGUCAUUUGAUUACGUAGCCAUCGUUUAUAGCCAUAAACAGCCAUCGUUUAUGUCAAUUUAGACCAUGGGACUGUUUCCUCUGAUAGAGCAAUCUCCUGAAAUCUGCUGGAAAAAGCUAACUGAGAGACAAUCUGGAAGUCUGUAUUUAGCAGAUCCAGAGACGUUACCCUGUUGCAUUCGUGUCUGGUUUGGAGGUGCGAUUCGGGAAGUCAGGUCUUGACAGCGAGGUGUUGAAAGCAUCAGGGGCUGGUCUCGGCCGUGCCGCCUGCGCUAGCCGAGCUGGUACCUGGGGAAGCGUCAGGAAGUGCACAGCGUGGGCCGUGGUGGAGCGCGAGCGGAGAAGGAAGUGCUGGGAUUGGAUGCGAGAGCGGUCGAGGCGGUGGCCGUGGAUCAUUUCCAAGGAAGAGGCAGACCGUAGCAAAGGACGGGCAAUUUUUUUAUUGGGUAGCAAAAUCCACAGCCGUAUCUCCGCUUUCCCCUUUGAGCUCUCCGUUGCAAAGGUCCCGGUCCGCUUCUGAAGAAGCCCUCAACCGCGGUGAAGCAGGACGCAGAUGCGUUUUGUGGCCGAAGGGAGUAGCUUCGGGUGCUAGGAGAGGCCAAGCAGAUGCACGUGCCUCAGAAAAGCAGAUCCUGAAGCAAUUCCAGGGUGACGCAGGAUGCCAAAGCCAGGUGGCCUUUGCCGCUGGUCAGAGCGGCCGUGCAGCGAGCCCUACGCUAUGGCUUUAGGAUAAAACACCUGAUUUAUAGAACAAACAGAUUUAACUACGUACCUCUUAAAAAUGUUUUAAUUGGUAGAGAUACUUUUUAAAUUAUUGGUGAUCCAACGUUCGCAAAGCUCUGAUUAGCUCUGCGCGAGUGUUCUGGCGUCGCGAUGUUCCCCAGCUGCUCCUCUUAACUUUCAAGUUGUCUUUUCUCAUGUCACUAGUAAUAAAUGAUCUGAAAACUGUAAUAUAGGGAAGUCU